Molecule: ribosomal RNA, 414 nt
Filed under: uncultured bacterium
Lineage: Bacteria
Description: bacterial SSU rRNA
Rfam family: Bacterial small subunit ribosomal RNA
Source: RNAcentral
UAUUGGUCAAUGGGCGCGAGCCUGAACCAGCCCAGUAGCGUGAAGGAUGACGGCCCUAUGUGUUGUAAACUUCUUUUAUAUGGGAAUAAAGUUUUCCACGUGUGGCAUUUUGUAUGUACCAUAUGACUAAGGCUCGGCUAACUCCGUGCCAGCAGCCGCGGUAAUACGGAGGAUCCGAGCGUUAUCCGGAUUUAUUGGGUUUAAAGGGAGCGUAGGUGGACAGUUAAGCCAGUUGUGAAAGUUUGCGGCUCAACCGUAAAAUUGCAGUUGAAACUGGCAGUCUUGAGUACAGUAGAGGUGGGCGGAAUUCGUGGUGUAGCGGUGAAAUGCCUAGAUAUCACGAAGAACUCCGAUUGCGAAGGCAGCUCACUGGACUGUUGACUGACACUGAGGCUCGAAAGUGUGGGUAUCAAA